GUUUUGUCUAAUUUAUUUAAAUAUUGUACUUCGCAAGCCAUGACCACCACAACAAACUUUAAAAAGUGUUUAGUUUGGACACGAAGCUUCAGUUAAGUAGCAGUUUUACAAGCCCAUGAAGAGGACAGCCUGCCAGAACCAUUACUGUCACCUUGAGCGUGUUGUUGUGUACCUGAAGUGUGUGUACCUGUGGCACUGGACCCACUGUGGCUCUGAUCGGGACAAAGUUACCAAGCAAGAGAACAGAAAUCCAGGAUGAAGAGAAGGUCAGGAGAACGAGAACACGGCAGGAUGGUCAGGUGACGUGGCGCUUGCAGACUGAUGGGGCUCGUAGUCGUUACGUGAAUUGACGUUCUAAGCUGGUCUGUACGCUAAUCAGACACUAAGGCAUAAAGCAUGUAUGGUGUGGGAUGAAUGUAAACAAACAAGCUGCUUUAAAAUGAUUUAUUUUAAUUCAUUCUUUGAUUGUGUUCAGAAUCAUGGUGGGUCUGAAUCACUGGACAAAACGUAGGGAACACCCCGGACCCCGGACAGGUCAGGGUCAGUCCCUGUGAUGAACUGUUGUCCGGUGCAUGAUUGUUCCAGUGUUUAUUGGAAAAACUGGACCCACAGUGACCCUGAACUUAAAUAUUGUUUCAUGUGGAAUAUCUAUAGGAUAAAUAAA
This is a long non-coding RNA of Trichomycterus rosablanca, 664 nucleotides long. RefSeq lists it as uncharacterized. The record is from RefSeq and is a predicted model, not a curated record. NCBI's taxonomy places the organism in Eukaryota, Metazoa, Chordata, Actinopteri, Siluriformes, Trichomycteridae. The transcript is spliced from 4 exons.